ACCAAGGCUCUUUUCAGAGCCACCCACAACUUUCACACUGAGAGCU
Chaetura pelagica (chimney swift) is the source of this 46-nucleotide non-coding RNA. Lineage: Eukaryota; Metazoa; Chordata; Aves; Apodiformes; Apodidae. The record is from Rfam.